GAGCCAUCCUAACUGGGGCCCUGGCUCCCUGUUUUCCUUCGGUCGCCGUGGGUGUGCCGGACGCCUCUGGCAGGACUAACCCUGUGGCUUUUAUGUCCAACGUGCUGUGCUGUGUGUGCCUGCAGCAUCCUGUCCAAGACAAAGCUACCUUUCUUUCCUCGUGGGAAUGGACUGGCCGGGCUUUGGCAAUCUGGCCCCUCGAAAGUCUUAAGUGACCUCUUCCAGCAGGGGAAGACUGAAGCAAGGGGUGCCAGAAAGAACUGGAGUUUCUGGAGAAUAAAAGCUGGAAGCGUGCCCCCGAAAAUCCCCCCGGGUGGUCAGUGGUCUGACUUGCACGGACCGGUGGCCUUGGCCAGGAGCGGUCCUGCGGGAAGUGCCUUUGCCCAGCCUGUAAUUUUAAUUUCCAUUGGUUGCUUGGCAAAGCCCCUUAGUGCCUGGCAGGAGCAGAGCGGGCUUCCAGGGAGGUAUUCAGCUGGUCAGCGUCAGGAACCAUCCUAACUGAGGCCUCGGUGAGUGACGAAGCUUAUGGAAAAAAAGACCAAAGGCCUCGAGGCUCCCUGUUUUCCUUCGGUCGCCGUGGGUGUGCCGGCCGCCUCUGGCAGGACUAACCCUGUGGCUUUUAUGUCCAACGUGCUGUGCUGUGUGUGCCUGCAGGUCAUGUUUAUCUGCCUGUCAGGACUGUUGGAGCACUGGAUGGAGAGCAGGUCAUAUGAGGAGGAUUACGGAGUAAAAGGCAGCUUGUACUGAAGUGCAGGGAAAGUAUAAAUAUUUAUAUAUAUUGGCACAGCGCCUGGCCUUAAUGCUUAAAAUCCUUUGGAGAGCUGUCUGCAUAUUUACUGUAUUAAUGAUCAAAUGCAAGGCUGUGUUGGGAAAGGUCUUCCAUUUGGAAGUCAGUAGUUGAGACUGUCUUGCCUAUGAAAAAGAGGGAGAAUUUUCGUUAGAGGGUGUAGGAUUCUGGCUGGUAAUAGUCUUAAUUCAAGGUAUUUUUAGAGAAUUGAUUUAAUACAAGCAGAACAAAUGGCCAGAAGUGUAAUGAGAGACAAGUUGAAAUUAGAAAGUAGAUGUGCAUUUUGAAUGUAUUGUCAUAGCAACUGAUUAAAUUCUCCCUCUCUUGCUGUUCUGGGGACCUUUUAAAUGUGCUUUGGCUAAAUAAAAAGUAUUAGACUAUUUCAGAGCCAAAAGGUCAGUUCUUGUUGUCUCUUUUGCACUUUAAUUCUAGUACACUGAUACUUGCUAACCACGUAUAACCCUAGAUGCAGAAUGAGAACUUGGGUUAUUAACAAUAAACAAGUAAACAGCAGAAAGACUUGACCUUUCUUUUGAAUUGCCCUACAGUGUUACAAAAUACCAAACAAACCUCCUUCCCCAAAGAAACGCCCCCCAAAAUGCCCCAACAACUCACCAAACACAAAAUCACCGACAACCAAAAAGCAGAAGUAACAAACAUGAACAGCAAGUGGAGGAAGAGUUUGAAAGCGGGCUGGACAGAAGCAGAAGUGUUACUGCCCACUCUUAGGCCACUGUGCUGAUUAAAUGGGUGUUGUUAGGUUUAGAUUAGUAGUUCGUUGUUGUUGGGUUUUUCGGUGGUGUUGAUUUUUUUUGUUGUCGUUGUGGGGGAUUGUUUGUUUGUUUGUUUUUAUUUUGGUUUUUUUUCUGUAUUAAAAAUCUGGCUCAGUUACUCUCUAGUUCUGGUGUGUUCUCUUUUCCAGGUGGUUGGUGUUUCUGCAGUGUUUGGCACAGGACUGGGGGAGAUUUUUACCCAGCUUUCUAAAGCUGUAGAUGAGUAGGAGAGACUGAAUGCACUCCCUUUAUUCACCUUUUCAGAGAGUAUCGGCCAGAAUACGAGCGCCUGAGAAAAACACUGAAUCCACAUGUAAAUCUUUGUCUACGGGAGAAAGCUCAAAAUAAACAAAAGAGAGAGCAGCUGGAACACUUGUGGAAGGACAUGGGCAGCGUGUGUGUGCAGGGCAGCACACUGGCAGGUACCUCCCCAGGAAGAUAAAGUUUACUGCAGAAGUUUUCUGAAGAGUUUGCCUUGUGAAGUAGUACAGUGCUUCUUUGUCCUCACAGCAGAAAUGUGAAAGCAGCUCCAUGUUAGAGGAGCAGGGCUUUAGUUCCUGUGGGAUUGGUCACACUCAGCUCGUCCUGUGUCAGUCACAGGUUUGGAAGAAACCCCGCUGUGUAGCUAAAGCAGUGGACCUACUAGAAAUAAUGAAAUACUUUAGAAAAGGCGAAACAGUCAGAUCAGAAUAUGAGAAAGCUCUGCUGUUGGCUGCACUGUUCCUUAGAUGAGGCGAGUAGGUGCUGAUGGAGUCUGUCCUGUGUCUGGGAUCCACAAGCAGCUUUCUGUCCCCUUAGAGCAGGUGUUCAUUGCUGGGUUUCUGUGCAGACAGAAGUUGUCAGUGCACACGCUCCCUUACCUUUAGCAAGCUGGUUUGUGUACAGCCGUUUCUGUUCCCUUCAAGGACCUGAUGCUUCUGCAAUGGGUCCCUCUGAGCUAAUACUAACAUGAGGAACUCUCGAUGAAGAGCAAGAAGAGAGGGAGAGUGACGCUGAUGGCAUUGACCACGAAGGUAAGGGAAUGAGGUCUAAAAGCUGCCUCUCAAGAAAUCCCCUCUAUAUUUCAUGUCCUGGAUGGACUGUAAGGAGAGCCUAGAAAACAAGCAAACAUUCAGUCACCUGACGUGUCAGAAUCUGUAGCAGAAGCUCAGCUGCAAUGGUCAGUGCAGGGAUAUCACUCUGUAACCUUUGUGAAAGUUCAAUUGUAAAUUUUCUAUUCAAGUAAUUAAUAGGUGUAUAACACACAUAAACCAGAGAACUCGUUAGGCUUGGGGCAUGCAGUGACCUCUGAACCUGAUUGAUGCACAGAUGUGUCCAUCAUCUUUUUGGCCUUACAGUUUCUGCCCCUGGCUCUCUUCCCUUUUCCUGUGACUGUGGUCUUGGAGCAAUCUUCUAAGUUGUUACAGUGUGAUUUUUCUCUUCUAUAGCUCACAGACUUAAUCUUCAUUCUUUCCCUGUUCCACUGAUGGGUAGGAUCACUUAUUUCCUUUGCCCUGUAAUGUAGCUGAAGAUGGAAUAGACUUUCUAUGUUGCUUUGGCUA
Long non-coding RNA from Pseudopipra pipra, 3101 nucleotides. RefSeq lists it as uncharacterized. The record is from RefSeq and is a predicted model, not a curated record. The transcript has 8 exons. NCBI's taxonomy places the organism in Eukaryota, Metazoa, Chordata, Aves, Passeriformes, Pipridae.